RNAcentral lists this unclassified non-coding RNA (267 nucleotides) under Hevea brasiliensis (rubber tree). Lineage: Eukaryota; Viridiplantae; Streptophyta; Magnoliopsida; Malpighiales; Euphorbiaceae. The record is from RNAcentral.
AGCGAAUGAAGUUCUCUGGAAAGUUUGAGGUCUCAAGUCUCUUUGCUAGAUGGGCUGAAAUGAUGAAAAGUAGAGUAAAGCGUAGGGAUCCCAGCUGAUGAGCAAUGCAAACAAAUUCUGUCCUGGCAGUUGAAUUUUAUGUUCUCGAUAAUGCAGAUGAGAGGAUCACUAACCAACCAGUAAAGAGACAAAUCAGUGACAAACGGAAUGUCAGUUUUUGAUCUCAGCCAUAUCAUACAAGGUCUGAAUACGAAAAUUCAUUCUUAU